UGGCACUGUUUUAGUUCACGCAGACCCCUCACCCUUCAGCGUAAGCCCCCAGGGCUUUGUAGAUUCACCAUCACUGGUGCCAUAGAGAAGACAGGACUUCAAGCAACAUAGCAAUACCUCUCUCUGUUGCCACCCGUGCACUCAGAUGUACCCUAUGGCUGUUCCUGAACAAAUCCCUCCAGGAGGAAGGUUGCAGCCAAGUGAGAACUUGGUUCCCUUAUAUUGCCUCUGGCAUUUCCUCAUCUUGUAGUAAUCUUCAUGCACAGGAAUUUCACAUUAAACUGAAAUUAAAACAGAGGAAAAGCAUCACUAACA
Molecule: long non-coding RNA, 315 nt
Organism: Pseudopipra pipra
Lineage: Eukaryota; Metazoa; Chordata; Aves; Passeriformes; Pipridae
Exons: 2
Source: RefSeq, a predicted model, not a curated record